Molecule: ribosomal RNA, 484 nt
Filed under: uncultured bacterium
Lineage: Bacteria
Description: partial 16S ribosomal RNA
Rfam family: Bacterial small subunit ribosomal RNA
Source: RNAcentral
AUUGAACGCUGGCGGCAGGCCUAACACAUGCAAGUCGAGCGGAUGAAGGGAGCUUGCUCCUGGAUUCAGCGGCGGACGGGUGAGUAAUGCCUAGGAAUCUGCCUGGCAGUGGGGGAUAACGUCCGGAAACGGGCGCUAAUACCGCAUACGUCCUGAGCGUGAAAGUGGGGGAUCUUCGGACCUCACGCUAUCAGAUGAGCCUAGGUCGGAUUAGCUAGUUGGUGGGGUAAAGGCCUACCAAGGCGACGAUCCGUAACUGGUCUGAGAGGAUGAUCAGUCACACGGGAACUGAGACACGGUCCAGACUCCUACGGGAGGCAGCAGUGGGGAAUAUUGGGCAAUGGGCGAAAGCCUGAUCCAGCCAUGCCGCGUGUGUGAAGAAGGUCUUCGGAUUGUAAAGCACUUUAAGUUGGGAGGAAGGGCAGUAAGUUAAUACCUUGCUGUUUUGACGUUACCAACAGAAUAAGCACCGGCUAACUUCGUG